Molecule: RNA transcript, 1837 nt
Organism: Gossypium raimondii (Peruvian cotton)
Lineage: Eukaryota; Viridiplantae; Streptophyta; Magnoliopsida; Malvales; Malvaceae
Gene name: zinc finger protein ZAT9
Exons: 3
Source: RefSeq, a predicted model, not a curated record
UACCUUUUUCUUUUUACAUUGGUAAGAAAAGGCAAGGUCAGGAAGUGUCGAUUAAGAAACGGGCAACGUUUCGCAUGUUACAUGUCCCUCUUUCUCCCUUCCUGCAUACGCUUUUAUUGAAUCUUUAUUUAUUGGCCGAUUAAAUCAAACAGAAUGCGAAAAUACUUGUGUUGAAAUUUUCAAUUGACACUCUCUGCUCGCUACCUUCAUAAAAAAUAAAAUCUUUAUUUAUUCAUAUUUUUUUCUUGUUAAGAGAGUAAAUUACACUUUUAAUCAAAACAAGAAGUCCCAUUUUUUUGAAAAUUUUGUUGUAUAUAUAUAUAUCCUGGAGUGGCUUCUCACCUAAUUUAUUUCUUCUUCCCACUCCCUUUCUAUGCUUCUUUAAAAUCCACAGCCUUACAAACAUAAACAUCUACUUCUGAUCUGUUUAUUGAACCCUGCUUCUGCGUGUUUUUGGCAAUGGAGAAAGUCAAGUGUAAGCAGCUCUGCUUGAAAAGCUUUGCAAAUGGAGAAACUCAAUUGAGGUCUAACAUGUUGAAUCUUCCAAUUCCUCCCAACGUUGAACAAGAAUCUGCUUCACCUUCAUAUUCAUCGUCUUCCUCGGAAGAAAAAGGGCAGUUUUAUGGUCUUAGAGAGAACCCAAAGAGAAGCAUUCGCUUUGUAGAUCCUGAAUUCGUUGAUGCAGACUCAGUUGUUGUUCAAAGCAAAGAAAGUGAGACCGAGUCGUCCAAGUACCCAACUCAGAAACGAUCCAGACGGACUUGGGAUGAACCUGAACAGGCGACUUCCCUCUCUGACACUACAACUGAAGAAGAUAUCGCUUUCUGUCUUAUGAUGCUUUCAAGGGGCCAACGGAAAAGCAAAGUAGCUCAACAUGAUGAUAUUGAUGAAGAAGAAGAAGAAACAGAUGAAUCUGCAGAGUUUAAUAGAACAACUCGAGGGAAAUACAAAUGUGAAACGUGCAACAAAGUUUUCAACUCGUACCAAGCACUGGGUGGACACAGAGCGAGUCACAAAAAGAUCAAAACUUUCGAAACAGAGUUAGCACCAGAAAAUGUGGGUACUACUUGUUCAAUGACAGAAAAGAAAACACAUGAAUGUCCUGUUUGUUUUAAAGUCUUCUCGUCUGGACAAGCUCUUGGCGGGCAUAAAAGGUCUCAUGUAGCAGCAGCAACAGCACAAACCUAUGUUAAAAGUUCCAACAAGUUGGUAGUUAAUUUUAUAGAUCUUAAUCUUCCUGCUCCAGUGGAUGAUGAUGAUGAUGAUGAUGAUGGGUUCCUAAUGCUUAAAUAGUCAACAACAUAUAAAGUGACGGACAAAUUUUCUUUUCGUGGUUUACAACAAUGUUUGAUCCAAAGGCUAGGCAAGGCGGCUGCCCAUGCCUCCAAACUCUAAGUAAAAUCACAGCCACGAUGAUUAGGACUGCUUUAUCGACCAUUAUUAAGUGAUAACAUAAACAAAUAAAGGAGAGUAUUUGUGAGCAAAACAAGAGAAAAUCGGACAAUUAGAACAGAUUUCAAGAGCCACACGGGCAUACACACGGCCAUGUGCCAGACCGCGUGUAUUUCGCGAUUCGAACUACAAAUAAACACAAUUUUUAGAUUUUUCGGGCAUUUUAAGACCUAUAUAUACCAAAUAUAAAAAGAGAAGAGAGAGCCGUAAGAGGAGAUUGAAGAAAACAACUCGGAAAACACCAUUGAAGUCGACUCUAAAGCAGAUUUCUAUCAAGAUUGAAUAUCUCCUUUUAAUUUGUUUAAAUUUUAUUAUGAGUUUCUUUAUUUCUUGUAGUUAUACUGACUUUGAAAUGUUUUUAUUCGCGAUUAUGAACUAAUUUUUU